RNAcentral lists this ribosomal RNA (334 nucleotides) under uncultured Bacillota bacterium. RNAcentral describes it as "bacterial SSU rRNA". It matches the Rfam family "Bacterial small subunit ribosomal RNA", at positions 28 to 351 of the family's 1533-position model. The record is from RNAcentral. Lineage: Bacteria; Bacillati; Bacillota.
GACGAACGCUGGCGGCGUGCCUAAUACAUGCAAGUCGAGCGAAUCUUUUAAAAGCUUGCUUUUGAAGAUUAGCGGCGGACGGGUGAGUAACACGUGGGCAACCUGCCUGUAAGACUGGGAUAACUUCGGGAAACCGGAGCUAAUACCGGAUGAUCUUUUCUCUCGCAUGAGGGAAUUCUGAAAGACGGCGCAAGCUGUCACUUACAGAUGGGCCCGCGGCGCAUUAGCUAGUUGGUGAGGUAACGGCUCACCAAGGCGACGAUGCGUAGCCGACCUGAGAGGGUGAUCGGCCACACUGGGACUGAGACACGGCCCAGACUCCUACGGGAGGCAG